GACGAACGCUGGCGGCGUGCUUAACACAUGCAAGUCGUACGGUAAGGCCCUUUCGGGGGUACACGAGUGGCGAACGGGUGAGUAACACGUGAGUAACCUGCCCACAACUUUGGGAUAACGCUAGGAAACUGGUGCUAAUACUGGAUAUGUGCUCCUGCUGCAUGGUGGGGGUUGGAAAGCUCCGGCGGUUGUGGAUGGACUCGCGGCCUAUCGGCUUGUUGGUGGGGUAGUGGCCUACCAAGGCGGCGACGGGUAGCCGGCCUGAGAGGGUGACCGGCCACAUUGGGACUGAGAGACGGCCCAGACUCCUACGGGAGGCAGCAGUGGGGAAUAUUGCACAAUGGGCGCAAGCCUGAUGCAGCAGCGCCGCGUGCGGGAUGACGGCCUUCGGGUUGUAAACCGCUUUCAGCAGGGACGAAGCUUUUUGUGACGGUACCUGCAGAAGAAGCACCGGCUAACUACGUG
Molecule: ribosomal RNA, 465 nt
Filed under: uncultured bacterium
Lineage: Bacteria
Description: partial 16S ribosomal RNA
Rfam family: Bacterial small subunit ribosomal RNA
Source: RNAcentral